AAGGGAAAGAUGAAAGAGCUAUAUCAAGCACUAAAAAGCAAAGACAAGCCCUUAUACCUUCUGCAUAAUCUAUUAACUAGAAAUAACUUUACACACAGAACUAUAGCCAAGUCCCCCAAAACCAGAUGAGCUACUGAAGAACAGCUGAAAGACCACAUUCACCUAUGUGGCAAAAUAGUGGGAGGAUUCAUGAGUAACAGUGACAAGCCUACCGAGCCUGGUGGUAGCUCAUUGUCCAAGAUAGACUCUUAGUUCAACUUUAAACUUACCCACAGAAUGAUGUAAUUCCCCUGUAAGUUUAACUGUUAGUCUAGAGAGGGACAGCUCUUUAGACCUUGGGAAACAACCUUCCUGCAGAGAGUAAAAAUUAUUACCACCACAGUUGGCCCAAAAGCAUCCACCAAUUAAGAAAGCGUUUAAGUUCAACAUCUUACUAUCUUGAAUUCUAAUCACUUUACUGAACUCCUAACGUCACAUUGGACUAAUCUAUUACUUAAUAGAAGCAAUCAUGUUAAUAUAAAUAACAUGAAGACAUUCUCCAUUGUGUAAGCUUACAUCAGACCGCAAUAACCCACUGACAGUUAACAGCCCAAUAUUAGUAAAUGAUAUAAUAAGCACCCUAUUAUAUUCACUGUUAACCCAACACAGUCAUGCUCUAAGGAAAGAUUACAAAAAGUAAAAGGAAUUCAGCAAAUCUUACCCCACCUGUUUACCAAAACACCACCUCUAGCAUUAUCAGUAUUAGAGGCACUGCCUGCCCAGUGACAUAUGUUCAACAGCCGCGAUAUCCUAACCUUGCAAAGGUAGCAUAAUUACUUGUUCCCUAAAUAGGGACUUGUAUGAAUGGCCAGACGAGGGUUCAGCUGUGUUUUACUUUUAAUCAGUGACAUUGACCUAUCUGUGAAGUGGCGGAUAUAAACAAAUAAGAUGAGAAGACCCUAUGCAGCUUUAAUUCGUUAAUGCAAAUGAAAACUCAAGCCUACAGGCCCUAGCCUACUAUCACCGUAUUAAAAAUUUUAAACUGCUUGGCCAGGCGCAAUGGCUCAUGCCUGUAAUCCCAGCACUUUGGGAGGCCGAGGCGGGUGGAUCACCUGAGGUCAGGAGUUCAAAACAAGCCUGGCCAACAUGGUGAAACUCCAUCUCUACAAAAAUACAAAAAUUAGUUGGGCAUGAUAGCGGGUGCUGGUAAUCCCAGCUACUCAGGAGGCUGGGGCGGAAGAAUUGUUUGAACCCAGGAGGCAGAGGUUUCAGUGAGCCGAGACCACACCAUUGCACUCCAACCUGGGCGACAGAUGGAGACUCUGUCUCAAAAAAAAAAAAAAAAAAAAAAAAUUUGGUUGGGGUGACCUCAGAGCAUAAUUCAACGUCCAAACAAUCUAAACUAAGACCUCACUAGUCUAAGUGAGUUUUUACACAUUACGCAAUAAUUUGAUCAACGGAAUAAGUUAGCCUAGGGAUAACAGCACAAUCCUAUUCUAGAGUCCAUAUCGACAAUAGGGUUUACAACCUCAAUGUUGGAUCAGGACAUCCUAUUGUGUAACCACUAUUGAGGGUUUGUUUGUUCAAUAAUUAAUGUCCUUUGUGAUCUGAGUUCAGACCGGAGUAAUCCAGGUUGGUUUCUAUCUAGUUAACAUUUCUCCUUU
This is a non-coding RNA of Macaca mulatta (Rhesus monkey), 1643 nucleotides long. Lineage: Eukaryota; Metazoa; Chordata; Mammalia; Primates; Cercopithecidae. The record is from Rfam.